Acanthochromis polyacanthus (spiny chromis) is the source of this 1799-nucleotide long non-coding RNA. RefSeq lists it as uncharacterized. The record is from RefSeq and is a predicted model, not a curated record. Lineage: Eukaryota; Metazoa; Chordata; Actinopteri; Pomacentridae. The transcript has 2 exons.
UCUCAGGAGGGGAAAGAAGAGAGCUGCUCUCAGACUCAUCUGCAGGUAACAGACUGACACUUCACUGCUGAAAGGCUGAGAAUGGAAAUAUCCACAUGUUAAAAAGAAGAAGAGAAAGAUGCACAUUGUGUUCUUCUGUACAGUCUCUGAUAAUGUAUGUUUGGAGCUGUGUCAGUGUCUUGUUGAUUUCUCUUACAGAGCCAUCCUUGACCUGGCCAGAGAGCAGGCCCCCCACUUAGUGUAUUUGACAAGCUGAGUUGGACACUCUGUAUCAGUGAGUGUCAGUUUGUCAAAUACCCCAAGUGAGGUGUCACUUGUCUACAAACGAAGGUCACUGCACAGAGAGGGAUCCACCGUGCAGAGGAAACUGAAAACUCCAAGAUAACAGUGCUCACCCCCUGGUGAUCCCAAACAUGGAUCCUCUGCAGUUUGCAUACCAGCCUGGGAUUGGGAUGGAUGACGCCGUCCUCUACCUGCUGCAGAGAUCCCUGUCUCACCUGGAACACACUAGACACACCGUGAGGAUCACGUUCUUCGACUUCUCCAGUGCCUUCAAUACAAUCCAACCCUCACUGCUGAGGGUGAAGAUGGAGUGGGCUGGGGUCAGUGACCAGCUGGCUGCAUGGACCAUGGACUACCUCACAGACAGACCCCAGUAUGUGAGGCUACAGGACUGUGUGUCUGAUAUGGUGGUCUGAAGCACAGGACCCGCCAGGAUACAGUACUCUCACCUUUCCUCUUCACCCUCUAUACAUCGGACUUCCGUUACUCCACAGACAGUUGCCAUCUCCAGAAGUUCUCCGAUGACGCUGCCAUCAUAGGAUGCGUGUCAGACGGGAGCGACUGCGAGUACAGGAAGGUCAUCAUGGACUUUGUCUACUGGUGUGAGCAGAACCACCUCCAAAUGAACACCAGCAAGACAAAGGAGAUGGUGAUUGAUUUCCACAGGAAACCCUCAGACACUCCACCACUGAACAUCCAGGGGCUUGACAUUGAGAGGGUGAGGACCUAUAAGUACCUGGGUGUUCACUUAAAUAACAAACCGGACUGGACAGAUAACACUGACUCUCUGUAUAAGAAAGGUCAGUGUCAUUUAUACCUGCUAAGGAGAUUCGCAUCAUUUGGUGUGAGCAGGCCACUGCUGAGGACCUUUUAUGACACUGUGGUGGCAUCCAUGGAUGCAGUGGUGUGCUGGGGAGGUGGGUGCUCUGAGCGUGAUAAAAACAGACUCAACAGACUGAUGAAAAGAGCCAGCUCAGUCUAUGGCUGCCCCCUGGACUCCAUUGAGGUGGUGGGAGAGAGGAGGGCUCUGGCCAAACUAUCGUCCAUCAUGGAAAACUCCUCCCACCCUCUACAUCAGACUGUGAACUCCUUAAGAAGCGCCUUCAGCAAUAGACUGGUACACCCUAGGUGUAGGAAGGAAUGCUUCUGCAAAUUGUUUAUUCCAGCAUCUGUCAGACUAUAUAAUGCCACAUUAUAAACUUCACUGCAUGCUGUUUACUGCUCCACUUUUUUCCUCCCCUCAAUUUACACAAACAUCCACCUACUUAUGUGCAAUAACUGAUACCUCAUCAGUGCAAUAACCGAUACCUCAUCCUCCUGUAUUUAGUCUUCUACAUGGUACUUAAAAAAAUCAUCUGUAUAUAAUGUAAUCCACAAUUUUUGCACUGUCUUUCUUUUUCUAUUUAUUUCUUUUUUUGUACUGACUUUACACAUUUAUACUUUUUCUCUGGAGCUGCUGUAAUGGUGAAGUUUCCUCACUGUAGGAUCAAUAAAGUUUAUCCUUAUCCUUAUCCUUA